CAGCAGCCGCGGUAAUACGGAGGGAGCUAGCGUUGUUCGGAAUCACUGGGCGUAAAGCGCACGUAGGCGGCUAUUCAAGUCAGGGGUGAAAGCCCGGGGCUCAACCCCGGAACUGCCUUUGAAACUAGAUAGCUUGAAUCUUGGAGAGGCGAGUGGAAUUCCGAGUGUAGAGGUGAUAUUCGUAGAUAUUCGGAAGAACACCAGUGGCGAAGGCGACUCGCUGGACAAGUAUUGACGCUGAGGUGCGAAAGCGUGGGGAGCAAACAGGAUUAGAUACCCCCGUAGUCCCUGUCUCUUAUAC
This 301-nucleotide ribosomal RNA is filed under the name uncultured bacterium. RNAcentral describes it as "partial 16S ribosomal RNA". It matches the Rfam family "Bacterial small subunit ribosomal RNA", at positions 509 to 807 of the family's 1533-position model. The record is from RNAcentral.